UUCGCUUAUGCGAAAAUGUGUAAAGAUAAAUGUUUUUUCGAGGUUUUCGAACUCGGGAGAUCGAGAGUGACUAGCCGAUCGUUCGAUAAAAAUUGACCGGUGCAGCACACGGCGUGACAGUCACGAAUGUUUUUUCAACACAUUCAUAUACAUAUCUAUUUAUGCCACAGAAUGUUUUUCCGCGUGAAUCAUGCAUUACACAUGAGGUUACAUAGCCUUUUGCAUUCGGAGCUGAAAAUAUCGACUGUAAGCUCGCCUUUUUUAUCAUCGAUGCAGCCGAGUCGGGAUUAUUGAAACUUGACGUAAUAUUUACAUAAAAGUGUAACGAAAUAACUAAGUAUAAAAUCUAUGCAGUGACAGAUGAUUUUGCAGUAAUCGGGGUUCCGUCUACUUGCUGAAACACUGCUCUAAAAUUAUGCGAACAAUUCUCGUACAACACAGAAAGUUUGGUGGGCGCUGUACGACUUACAUCCAUCCGUGAUCAAGAUUACAUAGCGAGCUUUAAUUAAGAUGUAAUCGCACACAGUGCGGUCACUUACUUUGAAAGAUUGAGUCACUGCGUAAGCUCGGCAAAACCGCACUCAAAAAUCACAAGUUCUCCGUACCCGGCAAGCAGCAGAUGCGGUGUGCCGGGGCACCGCAAACGAGGACGACUUGUGCACUAGAAUUUUGAUAACCCUUGGAGACUUGCGUCGAUUCGGCAUGAUUGGUUGGCGAGUUGUUGAAAAUCGAGACAAACGACAAAAAUUCCUCGGAUAUUCAGAAUCGCACCGAUUCUGCUGCAGGACUGCGCAACCGCAAACGACUCGGAUGGUGUUCAAGAUAAAACUGAGUUGAAUCUCCUGGCCCUGGAGCGGGAUCGGGGGCGAGACAAACGCUGCGCAAAGCACGUGGUGAUGUCGUAUACGCGCCCCCGCGGCGACGCUUUUUACACGGAGAAUUCAACGACUUGUCGACUGCAAGUUUGAUAUACCUACGCCUAUAACACAUGCGGUACAGUCCAUACAUGUACGAAUUCGUACGUAACUCGGGGUUCUCGGGAUCGGCUUCGACGCAGAAGUGCAAUGGAUAGUUUUUUUUGUACCUGAUGCGUCGCAAACGUGCAUGGGAAGUUGCGCAUAAAGCAGGUGUCUAAGCCCUGGAGAAUCACGUUUUCUCAGUAUUUUCACAUAUUACAAAAAGUUGAAUCGAGAAGCUUAUUUUAUGCAUCAUAUCAUUCGAGAGCCGGUGCCGCGAUACAAUGGAUACCAGCACUACGAUUUUGUCUAAUAUUACACUUUGGCAAAAUUAAGCAUCACGUAUUAACGUUAUAUAUAUACUUAAUAUAUUGUGUACGUUACUCGGUAAAUGUCGCAGAGCUGCGGUGAACAAAGUUCUGAGAUCCGAUAGCGUUAUAUUGUACCUAUAAUACCUAGAAUAAGUUCAACUUAUACAUGAGAUUUUGUGUAACAAGCCCAUUGCCAGGAUAUCCUGGUCCAGUUUAAUAAGAUUUAAUGAUAAAGUAAAAAAUAGUAUAUCGUGGAUACGGUUGAUUGCAUGUAGUUUAUUCGUAAACGACAAUAUACUGGCAGAUAAAUGCCAGCGGAUGUGAGAUAUCCACGGACUGAAGAUAAGACGAAAAUUUUCGGGGUCGUAUUCGUAAUAUUGUACAUGAAUAUAUGCAUGGAAGGUCCAACCUACUCGUUAAUAUAAUCUCAGUCGGAAUUCUAUGAACCGUUUGGCACUUUAUCUCGAUCACUCAUACCUACUGCAUCGGGCAUAUAAUGAGCAACAGUCGAGAUUAUACGGGGUAAAUGAUACAAACGAAUGCUACGAAUGACAAAUUACCGCAAGAAUACAUCUGCAGAUAUAUCUGCUCCUGCAACGUAUACCCCGAUCCCUACCUACCUACACUUUUGAGUUUCACACAGGUAGCGUUUAUCCCAUUCUCUAACUUUACAAUUUCAAUGUACAUCUGCGGCUUACGUAGGCUUACUUUUCUAACAACCGCUGGCUAAUUGUAAGAACUACAAGGACAUUUCCGGUGACCAACCGGAAGUAUUAUAAGGAAUUAAUUUGGAAAAUUGAUUUGAUGAGAAAAGAAUAUAAGUGCUUAUUAAA
RNAcentral lists this long non-coding RNA (2100 nucleotides) under Neodiprion pinetum (white pine sawfly). RNAcentral's name for it is "uncharacterized LOC124214044". The record is from RNAcentral. Lineage: Eukaryota; Metazoa; Arthropoda; Insecta; Hymenoptera; Diprionidae.